ACGCCAUGGCGGGCGCGGGAAUCGAUUAUUAGAUCCCUGGUAGUCCACGCCGUAAACGGUGGGCGCUAGUUGUGCGAACCUUCCACGGUUUGUGCGACGCAGCUAACGCAUUAAGCGCCCCGCCUGGGGAGUACGAUCGCAAGAUUAAAACUCAAAGGAAUUGACGGGGCCCCGCACAAGCAGCGGAGCAUGCGGCUUAAUUCGACGCAACGCGAAGAACCUUACCAAGGCUUGACAUAUACAGGAAUACGGCAGAGAUGUCGUAGCCGCAAGGUCUGUAUACAGGUGGUGCAUGGUUGUCGUCAGCUCGUGUCGUGAGAUGUUGGGUUAAGUCCCGCAACGAGCGCAACCCUCGUUCUGUGUUGCCAGCAUUAAGUUGGGGACUCACAGGAGACUGCCGGGGUUAACUCGGAGGAAGGUGGGGAUGACGUCAA
Molecule: ribosomal RNA, 434 nt
Filed under: uncultured Actinomycetes bacterium
Lineage: Bacteria; Bacillati; Actinomycetota; Actinomycetes
Description: bacterial SSU rRNA
Rfam family: Bacterial small subunit ribosomal RNA
Source: RNAcentral